GCCAGACUCCUACGGGAGGCAGCAGUGGGGAAUUUUGCGCAAUGGGGGAAACCCUGAUGCAGCAACGCCGCGUGAGUGAAGAAGUAUUUCGGUAUGUAAAGCUCUAUCAGCAGGGAAGAGAAUGACGGUACCUGACUAAGAAGCCCCGGCUAACUACGUGCCAGCAGCCGCGGUAAUACGUAGGGGGCGAGCGUUAUCCGGAUUUACUGGGUGUAAAGGGAGCGUAGACGGCUGGUCAAGUCUGAAGUGAAAGCCCGGGGCUUAACCCCGGAACGGCUUUGGAAACUGAGCAGCUAGAGUGCUGGAGAGGUAAGCGGAAUUCCUAGUGUAGCGGUGAAAUGCGUAGAUAUUAGGAGGAACACCAGUGGCGAAGGCGGCUUACUGGACAGUAACUGACGUUGAGGCUCGAAAGCGUGGGGAGCAAACAGGAUUAGAUACCCCCGUAAUC
RNAcentral lists this ribosomal RNA (448 nucleotides) under uncultured bacterium. Its description in RNAcentral is "bacterial SSU rRNA". It matches the Rfam family "Bacterial small subunit ribosomal RNA", at positions 330 to 795 of the family's 1533-position model. The record is from RNAcentral.